This 373-nucleotide ribosomal RNA is filed under the name uncultured Veillonellaceae bacterium. Its description in RNAcentral is "bacterial SSU rRNA". It matches the Rfam family "Bacterial small subunit ribosomal RNA", at positions 355 to 719 of the family's 1533-position model. The record is from RNAcentral. Lineage: Bacteria; Bacillati; Bacillota; Negativicutes; Veillonellales; Veillonellaceae.
UGGGGAAUCUUCCGCAAUGGGGGCGCAAGCCUGACGGAGCAACGCCGCGUGAGUGAAGAAGGUUUUCGGAUCGUAAAGCUCUGUUGAGAGGGACGAGAGAUAUAAUCAGGAAAUGGGUUAUAGAGGACGGUACCUUUCGAGGAAGCCACGGCUAACUACGUGCCAGCAGCCGCGGUAAUACGUAGGUGGCGAGCGUUGUCCGGAAUUAUUGGGCGUAAAGGGAGCGCAGGUGGGAAAGUAAGUCAGUCUUAAAAGUUCGGGGCUCAACCCCGUGAUGGGAUUGAAACUACUUUUCUUGAGUGCAGGAGAGGAAAGCGGAAUUCCUAGUGUAGCGGUGAAAUGCGUAGAUAUUAGGAGGAACACCAGUGGCGAA